GUCUCAAAUACAGGAGAAGGAAUUGGGUUUGUUUCCACAUUCUGUUGUUACAGCCGUUCCUAAGCGAGGUGCAGAGCGUCGUGGUCUGUGUGCCUGAAGUAGAGUUGGGAGGGAGUUUUCUUGUGUUAAGCUAGAAAAAAAAAUGGUUUUCCUGUUGGGAAAUACUUGGAACAGAUUCAACAGAUUAAAUUCCUGAAGACACCCGCUCUGGUAUAUAUGUUGAUACUAAGAUUAUCUACUUUAUAGAGUCCUUCUCCCUCCUUUUUUCUGGGGGGAGAAAAGGGCAAAACCCCCAAGAAUUAAAGGAAGACAAAAUUAGGAGGCUUCGUUCGGAUUUCCGUGGCUUAAAACGGAAAAGGUCGUGUGGUACCACUGCUGGUACAUCUUUCUCUUCCGAGGACUGACAGUAGCACGAGUCUCACGACACAGGGAUUUGUCCUGAUAAAAGUUCGUUCUGCACGGAUGCUAAAAGUGAGCUCGUCUGCUGAGGAGGACGUAGCCGUGGGUUACGAGUCGACUCCAUCCUCCCGGCCGGCGUCGAGCCUCCCGCCUGCCCGUGCCUGCACGUCAAGGGUGCUGCCCGCCCCGCCCCGCCCCGCCCCACGUACCGACCAACGCCGUGGGGAGCGCCCUGAAACGGGAAUUUGACUCAUUCUCUUUGAAAAAGUGCCUUGCAGGAUUCAUACUUUUUUUUUUUUUUUUUUUAAUUUAUUUUGGCAUCUAAAAAGCCCGUUCUUCUGUCCAGAGGACUGGUAUUGUUCAGUUUAUCUACAUCAGCUUUUUAAAACAAAUAAACCCAGUUGCCUGUAAAAUAUGUCGGGGUGACCUUAACAAUCGGUCCCAGUCGUUCUUCGUCAAGACAAUUUCCACGCAGCAGCGAGGGAGCACAGGGCUGCUCUGGGUCCCCGCCCCGGGCAGGACAGCGAGGGAGAAGCUCCGAGAGGAAGAGGGGAUGGAGCCCCCUCGUAUCAGAACUCUGCAGCAAGGGCCGGGGGCUGCUGGUUCCCCUCCACCCUCAAUCCAUCACGGGACGGGGCCCGCGGCCGCGGGAGGGGACCCUCAUGCUCUUCCAGGGAACCGGACACGUGUCGGCAUCGGGGGUGGUUCCACUUGAGUUCACUGAAAAUAAUUCUGCUGCGUCGUGCCUUUUUUUACCAAAACAGGACACUUACAGUUUGGAAAAAGGCCAUCGUGUCCCUCUUUGGGUGCAGUAAUAUGAAGCUACUUUAAAUAUCAGAAAAUGGGAAGGAAUGCCUGCUUUUCAUUUGUUUACAGAAAAGGAGUUUAAGCACUAUUCGCCGGCCACGGCAGCUGAACCGGGGCCUGGCUGGAGGAACGCACGUUCAAAAAAGGAAUUCAAAGAGCUUAAGCAUAAAUGAAAGCUUUUAUUUCCCAUUUACCGGUUUGAAUGGGAAGGUGUAUUUUUGUGGCGUGUCUUUAAAGAUGCCUUUUAUGUGAUGUAUUUAUAAUUCCACUACAGCGGCAUUCCUAAUACUGGUUUUAACAUGCUGUACUUCUGUUGGAGCCGUUACGGGAACUGUAGCGCAUGGAAAAACAAUUCUGAGCUCGUUGUUUGCCUUAAAAACUCGCUUGUUUGUGUACCAAAUCAACGUGUGUUGUAUCAGUCGGAAUAAAAGUUCAGCAGAAUAA
Molecule: long non-coding RNA, 1650 nt
Organism: Athene cunicularia (burrowing owl)
Lineage: Eukaryota; Metazoa; Chordata; Aves; Strigiformes; Strigidae
Exons: 2
Source: RefSeq, a predicted model, not a curated record